UGUAAAAUUUUAAAGGUCGAACAGACCUAAUAUUUUCAGCUGCUACACCAAAAUUAAAUUUUAAUCCAACAUCGAGGUCGCAAUCUUUUUUUUCGAUAAGAACUCUCAAAAAAAAUUACGCUGUUAUCCCUAAGGUAAUUUUUUCUUAUAAUCACUAUUAAUGGAUCAAGCAUUCAUAAAUUAAUGGUUAAUUAUAGAAAAAGUUUAUUUAAUUUUUCAAUCACCCCAAUUAAAUAUUAUUUAAAAUAAAAAAUUAUUAUUCCAAUAAAAUAUUACUAAAAAAAAUAUUAAACUCUAUAGGGUCUUCUCGUCUUUUAAAUAAAUUUAAGCUUUCUAACUUAAAAAUAAAGUUUUAUAUUAAUUAAAUAGAGACAGUAAUUUUUUCAUCAAACCCUACAUUCUAGCUUCUAAUUAAGAAACUAAUGAUUAUGCUACCUUAGCACGGUCAAAUUACCGCGGCCCUUUAAUAUUCAGUGGCAGGCCCGACCUUAAAUUAUUAUCAAAAGGCCA
Molecule: ribosomal RNA, 510 nt
Filed under: Bruchus sp.
Lineage: Eukaryota; Metazoa; Arthropoda; Insecta; Coleoptera; Chrysomelidae
Description: partial 16S ribosomal RNA
Source: RNAcentral